CAGCAGCCGCGGUAAUACGUAGGGUGCAAGCGUUAAUCGGAAUUACUGGGCGUAAAGCGUGCGCAGGCGGUUCGGAAAGAAAGAUGUGAAAUCCCAGAGCUUAACUUUGGAACUGCAUUUUUAACUACCGGGCUAGAGUGUGUCAGAGGGAGGUGGAAUUCCGCGUGUAGCAGUGAAAUGCGUAGAUAUGCGGAGGAACACCGAUGGCGAAGGCAGCCUCCUGAGAUAACACUGACGCUCAUGCACGAAAGCGUGGGGAGCAAACAGGAUUAGAUACCCUGGUAGUCCACGCCCUAAACGAUGUCAACUAGCUGUUGGGGCCUUCGGGCCUUGGUAGCGCAGCUAACGCGUGAAGUUGACCGCCUGGGGAGUACGGUCGCAAGAUUAAAACUUAAAGGAAUUGGCGGG
This 408-nucleotide ribosomal RNA is filed under the name uncultured microorganism. RNAcentral's name for it is "bacterial SSU rRNA". It matches the Rfam family "Bacterial small subunit ribosomal RNA", at positions 509 to 917 of the family's 1533-position model. The record is from RNAcentral.